GCCGCUGUAGCUCAGCGGAUAGAGCAGCCCUUUGACUCAGGAGCAUGUCGUAGGUUCGAAUCCUAUCAGCGGCU
This 74-nucleotide transfer RNA is filed under the name Actinomycetota bacterium. RNAcentral describes it as "Actinobacteria bacterium tRNA-Val". It matches the Rfam family "tRNA". Rfam says of the family: Transfer RNA (tRNA) molecules are approximately 80 nucleotides in length. Their secondary structure includes four short double-helical elements and three loops (D, anti-codon, and T loops). The record is from RNAcentral. Lineage: Bacteria; Bacillati; Actinomycetota.